This is a non-coding RNA of Vicia faba (fava bean), 252 nucleotides long. The record is from the annotation of a GenBank genome assembly. Lineage: Eukaryota; Viridiplantae; Streptophyta; Magnoliopsida; Fabales; Fabaceae.
AUGAGAAACCUAAAUCCUAAUGUGAAUAGACCCUACUAUGGAGGUGUCUGUUGGGUAGCUGGCUUCCUCCUGCUAUUGGGUGGAUGCAGAGUGCCAGAUUUGCAGUUAGCCCAGGAUAUAAACUUUGGAGCUGCUGAGCUUCAAUUAGACGAUGUCAUAGUUUUUGAGUGUUUGUUCAAUGUGUCAUCUGUGAGUGAUCAUGUUUCAUCUCUUCCCACAACUUGUUCUAAAUUCAGCAAAUUUCUAAGGUAA